This 378-nucleotide ribosomal RNA is filed under the name uncultured bacterium. RNAcentral's name for it is "bacterial SSU rRNA". It matches the Rfam family "Bacterial small subunit ribosomal RNA", at positions 523 to 898 of the family's 1533-position model. The record is from RNAcentral.
AUACGUAGGGUGCAAGCGUUGUCCGGAAUUAUUGGGCGUAAAGAGCUCGUAGGCGGCUUGUCGCGUCUGCUGUGAAAUCCCGGAGCUCAACUCCGGGCCUGCAGUGGGUACGGGCAGGCUAGAGUGCGGUAGGGGAGAUUGGAAUUCCUGGUGUAGCGGUGGAAUGCGCAGAUAUCAGGAGGAACACCGAUGGCGAAGGCAGAUCUCUGGGCCGUAACUGACGCUGAGGAGCGAAAGCAUGGGGAGCGAACAGGAUUAGAUACCCUGGUAGUCCAUGCCGUAAACGUUGGGAACUAGAUGUAGGGCCUGUUCCACGGGUUCUGUGUCGUAGCUAACGCAUUAAGUUCCCCGCCUGGGGAGUACGGCCGCAAGGCUAAA